GACGAACGCUGGCGGCGUGCUUAACACAUGCAAGUCGAACGGAAAGGCCCUGCUUUUGUGGGGUGCUCGAGUGACGAACGGGUGAGUAACACGUGAGUAACCUGCCCUUGACUUUGGGAUAACUUCAGGAAACUGGGGCUAAUACCGGAUAGGAGCUCCUGCUGCAUGGUGGGGGUUGGAAAGUUUCGGCGGUUGGGGAUGGACUCGCGGCUUAUCAGCUUGUUGGUGGGGUAGUGGCUUACCAAGGCUUUGACGGGUAGCCGGCCUGAGAGGGUGACCGGCCACAUUGGGACUGAGAUACGGCCCAGACUCCUACGGGAGGCAGCAGUGGGGAAUAUUGCACAAUGGGCGGAAGCCUGAUGCAGCAACGCCGCGUGCGGGAUGACGGCCUUCGGGUUGUAAACCGCUUUCGCCUGUGACGAAGCGUGAGUGACGGUAAUGGGUAAAGAAGCACCGGCUAACUACGUGCCAGCAGCCGCGGUGAUACGUAGGGUGCGAGCGUUGUCCGGAUUUAUUGGGCGUAAAGGGCUCGUAGGUGGUUGAUCGCGUCGGAAGUGUAAUCUUGGGGCUUAACCCUGAGCGUGCUUUCGAUACGGGUUGACUUGAGGAAGGUAGGGGAGAAUGGAAUUCCUGGUGGAGCGGUGGAAUGCGCAGAUAUCAGGAGGAACACCAGUGGCGAAGGCGGUUCUCUGGGCCUUUCCUGACGCUGAGGAGCGAAAGCGUGGGGAGCGAACAGGCUUAGAUACCCUGGUAGUCCACGCUGUAAACGGUGGGUACUAGGUGUGGGGUCCAUUCCACGGGUUCCGUGCCGUAGCUAACGCUUUAAGUACCCCGCCUGGGGAGUACGGCCGCAAGGCUAAAACUCAAAGGAAUUGACGGGGCCCCGCACAAGCGGCGGAGCAUGCGGAUUAAUUCGAUGCAACGCGUAGAACCUUACCUGGGUUUGACAUGGAUCGGGAGUGCUCAGAGAUGGGUGUGCCUCUUUUGGGGUCGGUUCACAGGUGGUGCAUGGCUGUCGUCAGCUCGUGUCGUGAGAUGUUGGGUUAAGUCCCGCAACGAGCGCAACCCUUGUUCACUGUUGCCAGCACGUUAUGGUGGGGACUCAGUGGAGACCGCCGGGGUCAACUCGGAGGAAGGUGGGGAUGACGUCAAGUCAUCAUGCCCCUUAUGUCCAGGGCUUCACGCAUGCUACAAUGGCUGGUACAGAGAGUGGCGAGCCUGUGAGGGUGAGCGAAUCCCGGAAAGCCGGUCUCAGUUCGGAUUGGGGUCUGCAACUCGACCUCAUGAAGUCGGAGUCGCUAGUAAUCGCAGAUCAGCAACGCUGCGGUGAAUACGUUCCCGGG
RNAcentral lists this ribosomal RNA (1343 nucleotides) under uncultured bacterium. Its description in RNAcentral is "16S ribosomal RNA". It matches the Rfam family "Bacterial small subunit ribosomal RNA", at positions 28 to 1378 of the family's 1533-position model. The record is from RNAcentral.